GGGGAAUAUUGGGCAAUGGACGCAAGUCUGACCCAGCAACGCCGCGUGAAGGAAGAAGGCUUUCGGGUUGUAAACUUCUUUUAAGGGGGAAGAGUAGAAGACGGUACCCCUUGAAUAAGCCACGGCUAACUACGUGCCAGCAGCCGCGGUAAUACGUAGGUGGCAAGCGUUGUCCGGAUUUACUGGGUGUAAAGGGCGUGUAGCCGGGAAGGCAAGUCAGAUGUGAAAUCUGGAGGCUCAACCUCCAAACUGCAUUUGAAACUGCUUUUCUUGAGUGUCGGAGAGGUAAUCGGAAUUCCUUGUGUAGCGGUGAAAUGCGUAGAUAUUAGGAGGAACACCAGUGGCGAAGGCGGCCAACUGGGCUUUUACUGACGCUGAGGCUCGAAAGCGCGGGGAGCAAACA
RNAcentral lists this ribosomal RNA (403 nucleotides) under uncultured Oscillibacter sp. RNAcentral's name for it is "bacterial SSU rRNA". It matches the Rfam family "Bacterial small subunit ribosomal RNA", at positions 356 to 774 of the family's 1533-position model. Lineage: Bacteria; Bacillati; Bacillota; Clostridia; Eubacteriales; Oscillospiraceae. The record is from RNAcentral.